UGGGAAACCUGCCCAGAAGCGGGGGAUAACACCUGGAAACAGAUGCUAAUACCGCAUAACAACUUGGACCGCAUGGUCCGAGUUUGAAAGAUGGCUUCGGCUAUCACUUUUGGAUGGUCCCGCGGCGUAUUAGCUAGAUGGUGGGGUAACGGCUCACCAUGGCAAUGAUACGUAGCCGACCUGAGAGGGUAAUCGGCCACAUUGGGACUGAGACACGGCCCAAACUCCUACGGGAGGCAGCAGUAGGGAAUCUUCCACAAUGGACGAAAGUCUGAUGGAGCAACGCCGCGUGAGUGAAGAAGGGUUUCGGCUCGUAAAACUCUGUUGUUAAAGAAGAACAUAUCUGAGAGUAACUGUUCAGGUAUUGACGGUAUUUAACCAGAAAGCCACGGCUAACUACGUGCCAGCAGCCGCGGUAAUACGUAGGUGGCAAGCGUUGUCCGGAUUUAUUGGGCGUAAAGCGAGCGCAGGCGGUUUUUUAAGUCUGAUGUGAAAGCCUUCGGCUCAACCGAAGAAGUGCAUCGGAAACUGGGAAACUUGAGUGCAGAAGAGGACAGUGGAACUCCAUGUGUAGCGGUGAAAUGCGUAGAUAUAUGGAAGAACACCAGUGGCGAAGGCGGCUGUCUGGUCUGUAACUGACGCUGAGGCUCGAAAGUAUGGGUAGCAAACAGGAUUAGAUACCCUGGUAGUCCAUACCGUAAACGAUGAAUGCUAAGUGUUGGAGGGUUUCCGCCCUUCAGUGCUGCAGCUAACGCAUUAAGCAUUCCGCCUGGGGAGUACGGCCGCAAGGCUGAAACUCAAAGGAAUUGACGGGGGCCCGCACAAGCGGUGGAGCAUGUGGUUUAAUUCGAAGCUACGCGAAGAACCUUACCAGGUCUUGACAUACUAUGCAAAUCUAAGAGAUUAGACGUUCCCUUCGGGGACAUGGAUACAGGUGGUGCAUGGUUGUCGUCAGCUCGUGUCGUGAGAUGUUGGGUUAAGUCCCGCAACGAGCGCAACCCUUAUUAUCAGUUGCCAGCAUUAAGUUGGGCACUCUGGUGAGACUGCCGGUGACAAACCGGAGGAAGGUGGGGAUGACGUCAAAUCAUCAUGCCCCUUAUGACCUGGGCUACACACGUGCUACAAUGGAUGGUACAACGAGUUGCGAACUCGCGAGAGUAAGCUAAUCUCUUAAAGCCAUUCUCAGUUCGGAUUGUAGGCUGCAACUCGCCUACAUGAAGUCGGAAUCGCUAGUAAUCGCGGAUCAGCAUGCCGCGGUGAAUACGUUCCCGGGCCUUGUACACACCGCCCGUCGCA
RNAcentral lists this ribosomal RNA (1296 nucleotides) under Lactiplantibacillus plantarum. RNAcentral's name for it is "bacterial SSU rRNA". It matches the Rfam family "Bacterial small subunit ribosomal RNA", at positions 118 to 1401 of the family's 1533-position model. Lineage: Bacteria; Bacillati; Bacillota; Bacilli; Lactobacillales; Lactobacillaceae. The record is from RNAcentral.